GAUGAAGAACGCAGCGAAAUGCGAUACUUGGUGUGAAUUGCAGAAUUCAGUGAAUCAUCGAAUCUUUGAACGCACAUUGCGCCCCUUGGUAUCCCGAGGGGCAUGCCUGUUCGAGCGUCAUUUCACCACUCAAGCCUGGCUUGGUGUUGGGCGACGUCCCCUUUGGGGACGCGCCUCGAAACGCUCGGCGGCGUGGCACCGGCUUUAAGCGUAGCAGAAUCUUUCGCUUUGGAAGUCGGGGCCCCGUCUGCCGGAAGACCUACUCGCAAGGUUGACCUCGGAUCAGGCAGGGAUACCCGCUGAACUUAAGCAUAUCAAUAAGCGGAGGA
This 329-nucleotide unclassified non-coding RNA is filed under the name soil metagenome. Its description in RNAcentral is "partial contains 5.8S ribosomal RNA, internal transcribed spacer 2, and large subunit ribosomal RNA". The stretch from base 1 to 120 matches the Rfam family "5.8S ribosomal RNA", at positions 35 to 154 of the family's 154-position model. The record is from RNAcentral.